GAUUUCAAUUGAAAAAAAUCAUCAACAACAAAGUUGUAUAACUCAUCAAGAUCUAUAACUUUUAUUUUGGUCAUUUCUUCAUCCGAUAAAGUGAUAGUAACAUUGUUUAUAAAAUUUACAUAUCUCUCAUUUGGUUUUAUAAACUAUAAGAGAGAGAUGUAAAUUUUGUGAACAAUAUUACUAUCACUUUGUCGGAUGAAGAAAUGACCAAAAUAAAAGUUGUAUGUCUUGAUGAGUUCUACAACUUUUAUGUUCAUGACUUUUUCAGCUGAAUAC
This 276-nucleotide microRNA precursor is filed under the name Oryza rufipogon (brownbeard rice). RNAcentral describes it as "MIR821 microRNA precursor family". It matches the Rfam family "MIR821 microRNA precursor family". Lineage: Eukaryota; Viridiplantae; Streptophyta; Magnoliopsida; Poales; Poaceae. The record is from Rfam by way of RNAcentral.